This 253-nucleotide ribosomal RNA is filed under the name uncultured bacterium. Its description in RNAcentral is "partial 16S ribosomal RNA". It matches the Rfam family "Bacterial small subunit ribosomal RNA", at positions 524 to 776 of the family's 1533-position model. The record is from RNAcentral.
UACGAAGGGGGCUAGCGUUGCUCGGAAUCACUGGGCGUAAAGGGUGCGUAGGCGGGUCUUUAAGUCAGGUGUGAAAUCCUGGAGCUCAACUCCAGAACUGCCUUUGAUACUGAAGAUCUUGAGUUCGGGAGAGGUGAGUGGAACUGCGAGUGUAGAGGUGAAAUUCGUAGAUAUUCGCAAGAACACCAGUGGCGAAGUCAGCUCACUGGCACGAUACUGACGCUGAGGCACGAAAGCGUGGGGAUCAAACAGG